GCCUACAGAGUCCCUAACUAAGCCAGAAGCGUUGUGGAAUGCUGCUGAUCGGGUCUGGGUGUCCCCGACUCCCACCUCACAUUGCCCGAGACGACAUCUUUGACACGCCUAGAGCUCCAGUUUGGAUCGUCUAAGCUCAAAUUGGUUCAGGUGAAAUUUCUCCAGACCAAAUUCCCUGGCACCCAGUGAUUAUACCUCUGAAGCGGCCAAGCCCACAGCACACAGGAAGCAACAGUGACGUGCCCUGGAGAAGACACAGGUGCUACUGAACGGAGACGGUCAUGUUCAUGGCACAGGACGAGGGAAGAGUGGGGCCGCUGAAACAUAAGAAACCGGUGAGACUGAAGUCAUCGAUACAAGUCAUUCCCAGCUUGGGGGCAAGGAUGGGGCUUCUGUGCAAGGCUUAGGGCCUCAGUCGGGAUUGCUCUGGGAUCCAAGGAGCUGGUGGUGAGUGGUCCUGAGUCUCUGCGGGGUCAUUAACCUCUUCAGCUGUGCCACGAGGCAGGCAGGGCCUGGGACUGCAGGCCAUAACAGAGCUGACACCCACGGCAGGCUGUGCACACUCUCCGUUCUUUUUAUUUUAAAAAAAUUGUUUUAAUGUUUAUUUAUUUUUGAAAGAGAGACAGAGUACGA
This is a long non-coding RNA of Herpailurus yagouaroundi (jaguarundi), 633 nucleotides long. RefSeq lists it as uncharacterized. The record is from RefSeq and is a predicted model, not a curated record. Lineage: Eukaryota; Metazoa; Chordata; Mammalia; Carnivora; Felidae. The transcript has 3 exons.